Molecule: ribosomal RNA, 417 nt
Filed under: Mycobacterium sp. Ri469
Lineage: Bacteria; Bacillati; Actinomycetota; Actinomycetes; Mycobacteriales; Mycobacteriaceae
Description: bacterial SSU rRNA
Rfam family: Bacterial small subunit ribosomal RNA
Source: RNAcentral
CCCUUCGGGGUACUCGAGUGGCGAACGGGUGAGUACACGUGGGUGAUCUGCCCUGCACUUUGGGAUAAGCCUGGGAAACUGGGUCUAAUACCGAAUAGGACUACGCGAUGCAUGUCGUGUGGUGGAAAGCUUUUGCGGUGUGGGAUGGGCCCGCGGCCUAUCAGCUUGUUGGUGAGGUUACGGCUCACCAAGGCGACGACGGGUAGCCGGCCUGAGAGGGUGACCGGCCACACUGGGACUGAGAUACGGCCCAGACUCCUACGGGAGGCAGCAGUGGGGAAUAUUGCACAAUGGGCGCAAGCCUGAUGCAGCGACGCCGCGUGAGGGAUGACGGCCUUCGGGUUGUAAACCUCUUUCGCCAGGGACGAAGCGCAAGUGACGGUACCUGGAGAAGAAGGACCGGCCAACUACGUGCCA